Molecule: ribosomal RNA, 465 nt
Filed under: uncultured Klebsiella sp.
Lineage: Bacteria; Pseudomonadati; Pseudomonadota; Gammaproteobacteria; Enterobacterales; Enterobacteriaceae
Description: bacterial SSU rRNA
Rfam family: Bacterial small subunit ribosomal RNA
Source: RNAcentral
CCUACGGGCGGCUGCAGUGGGGAAUAUUGCACAAUGGGCGCAAGCCUGAUGCAGCCAUGCCGCGUGUGUGAAGAAGGCCUUCGGGUUGUAAAGCACUUUCAGCGGGGAGGAAGGCGGUGAGGUUAAUAACCUCAUCGAUUGACGUUACCCGCAGAAGAAGCACCGGCUAACUCCGUGCCAGCAGCCGCGGUAAUACGGAGGGUGCAAGCGUUAAUCGGAAUUACUGGGCGUAAAGCGCACGCAGGCGGUCUGUCAAGUCGGAUGUGAAAUCCCCGGGCUCAACCUGGGAACUGCAUUCGAAACUGGCAGGCUAGAGUCUUGUAGAGGGGGGUAGUAUUCCAGGUGUAGCGGUGAAAUGCGUAGAGAUCUGGAGGAAUACCGGUGGCGAAGGCGGCCCCCUGGACAAAGACUGACGCUCAGGUGCGAAAGCGUGGGGAGCAAACAGGAUUAGAUACCCGUGUAGUC